This 253-nucleotide ribosomal RNA is filed under the name uncultured bacterium. RNAcentral describes it as "partial 16S ribosomal RNA". It matches the Rfam family "Bacterial small subunit ribosomal RNA", at positions 524 to 776 of the family's 1533-position model. The record is from RNAcentral.
UACAGAGGUCUCGAGCGUGAGGCGGAAUCACUGGGCUUAAAGCGUGUGUAGGCGGAUCGGUAAGUACCUUGUGAAAUCCCACAGCUUAACUGUGGAACUGCUUGGUAUACUGCCAGUCUUGAGCCAGCUAGGGGCUACCGGAACAAAUGGUGGAGCGGUGAAAUGCGUAGAUAUCAUUUGGAACGCCAAUGGUGAAAACAGGUAGCUGGGGCUGUGCUGACGCUGAGACACGAAAGCCAGGGGAGCAAACGGG